UGGGGAAUAUUGCGCAAUGGGCGAAAGCCUGACGCAGCGACGCCGCGUGGGUGAUGAAGGCCUUCGGGUCGUAAAACCCUGUCGGGAGGGACGAAACCUCGGCGACCUAAUACGUCGCCGACUUGACGGUACCUCCAAAGGAAGCACCGGCUAACUCCGUGCCAGCAGCCGCGGUAAUACGGAGGGUGCAAGCGUUGUUCGGAAUCACUGGGCGUAAAGCGCGUGUGGGCGGCCUCUUAAGUCUGGUGU
RNAcentral lists this ribosomal RNA (249 nucleotides) under uncultured Syntrophobacteraceae bacterium. RNAcentral describes it as "partial 16S ribosomal RNA". It matches the Rfam family "Bacterial small subunit ribosomal RNA", at positions 355 to 595 of the family's 1533-position model. Lineage: Bacteria; Pseudomonadati; Thermodesulfobacteriota; Syntrophobacteria; Syntrophobacterales; Syntrophobacteraceae. The record is from RNAcentral.